AAAAUCCGGGGGGCUGAGCUGAGGCGUGAUGACGAGGAACCACGGUUCCGAAGUGAUUGAUACCAAGCUUCCAGGAAAAGCCACUAAGCUUCAGUCUAGAGUUGACCGUACCGCAAACCGACACAGGUGGGCAGGAUGAAAAUUCUAAGGCGCUUGAGAGAACUCAGGAGAAGGAACUCGGCAAAUUAACACCGUAACUUCGGGAGAAGGUGUGCCCCGGUAGCGUGUAGAGACUUGCUCUCGAAGCGCGAUGGGGUUGCAGUGAAAUGGUGGCUGCGACUGUUUAAUAAAAACACAGCACUCUGCAAACACGAAAGUGGACGUAUAGGGUGUGACGCCUGCCCGGUGCCGGAAGGUUAAGUGAUGGGGUGCAAGCUCUUGAUCGAAGCCCCGGUAAACGGCGGCCGUAACGAUAGCGGUCCUAAGGUAGCGAAAUUCCUUGUCGGGUAAGUUCCGACCUGCACGAAUGGCGUAACGAUGGCCACACUGUCUCCUCCUGGGACUCAGCGAAGUUGAAAUGUUUGUGAAGAUGCAAUCUACCCGCGGCUAGACGGAAAGACCCCAUGAACCUUUACUGUAGCUUUGCAUUGGACUUUGAACCGGUUUGUGUAGGAUAGGUGGGAGACUGUGAAGCCGGGACGCUAGUUUCGGUGGAGUCAACCUUGAAAUACCACCCUGAUUUGUUUGAGGUUCUAACCUUGGUCCGUGAAUCCGGAUCGGGGACCGUGCAUGGUAGGCAGUUUGACUGGGGCGGUCUCCUCCCAAAAGGUAACGGAGGAGUACGAAGGUACGCUUAGGGCGGUCGGACAUCGCCCACAAAGUGCAAUGGCAAAAGCGUGCUUGACUGCGAGACCCACAAGUCGAGCAGGUACGAAAGUAGGUCAUAGUGAUCCGGUGGUUCUGUAUGGAAGGGCCAUCGCUCAACGGAUAAAAGGUACUCUGGGGAUAACAGGCUAAUUCCUCCCAAGAGUUCAUAUCGACGGGGGAGUUUGGCACCUCGAUGUCGGCUCAUCACAUCCUGGGGCUGUAGUCGGUCCCAAGGGUAUGGCUGUUCGCCAUUUAAAGUGGUACGCGAGCUGGGUUUAAAACGUCGUGAGACAGUUUGGUCCCUAUCUGCCGUGGGCGCUGGAAAUUUGAGGGGGGCUGCUCCUAGUACGAGAGGACCGGAGUGGACGAACCUCUGGUGUACCGGUUAUGACGCCAGUCGUAUCGCCGGGUAGCUAAGUUCGGAAGAGAUAAACGCUGAAAGCAUCUAAGCGUGAAACUCGCCUUAAGAUAAGAUUUCCCGGAGUCUUGAACUCCCUGAAGGGUCGUCGAAGACCACGACGUUGAUAGGUCAGGUGUGGAAGCGCAGCAAUGCGUUAAGCUAACUGAUACUAA
RNAcentral lists this ribosomal RNA (1380 nucleotides) under metagenome. Its description in RNAcentral is "bacterial LSU rRNA". It matches the Rfam family "Bacterial large subunit ribosomal RNA", at positions 1537 to 2904 of the family's 2925-position model. The record is from RNAcentral.